Long non-coding RNA from Oncorhynchus keta (chum salmon), 2468 nucleotides. RefSeq lists it as uncharacterized. The record is from RefSeq and is a predicted model, not a curated record. The transcript is spliced from 3 exons. NCBI's taxonomy places the organism in Eukaryota, Metazoa, Chordata, Actinopteri, Salmoniformes, Salmonidae.
UAAUAGAACUGACCCACUGGGCACACACUGGUUGAAUAUACAUUGUUUCCACACAAUUUCAAUGAAAUUAUGUUGAACCAACGUGGGUUAGACGUUGAAUUGACGUCUGUGCUCAGUGGGGAUGAAUAUCGCUAACUCACACACGUCAUUCAUACAGCUCCAGCAAAACAAAACAAACGAGUGUGACUCAUUUAAAAUAGUGAUAGACAGACAAGGCCGCAGAACCUGGCAUUCUUCAACACUAAAGCGCCUGACUGCUUUCUUUCACAGGGACAUCGAAUAGCAAACUAAAGUCAACUACUUUCUUUUCUUCAGAGAAAAAAGAGAGAAAUGUUCAGGAGACAGACUAAUGGGUUUUGUGCGUGUGGUUGUGUAUGUGUGACGGGGGUCUUUUAAUCAUUUUGUGUCCCCUACACCAUGUGGUGACAGUGUGUGUGUGUAAAAGAGAGGGAGAGAAAGAGAGCGUUAAACACACAGAGAGGAGAGAGACACAAAGCACCCAGGGGCUCUCGGUAAAGCAUACCAGUAGAGCUUUAAGUCUCUGUCACCCUUACAGAGCCCAAAUCAGAAGUGACUACCAUCCUCAAGCCACACACACAUUACAGCUUCCCUGCUCACACACACAGCACACAGACACACACCCACACCAACUACCAAUCACAACACACACAUACAUUACUGUACACACAUCCCAACUACCCUGUUCCAGUCACAACCCAGGUACUUUAGGUCUAAACUUGACAACUAAGGAGAAGAGACAGAGAGACGGGUGAUGGAGAGAGGGAAUGGGGCUCCUUCUCUUUUUGUUGUUGUUGUCGCUCUAAGCAAGGACAACUUCUUGACCUGAGAGGAAGUAGAUAUGAGGGGAGAGGAAAGGCAGAGAGGUGGAGAGAAAGAAAGAGGGCGAGAGAGAGAGGGAAGAGUUAGAGAUAGAGACAGCGAGCGAAAGAGAGAAAGAGAAAUGAAGAGACAUGAAGGGACAGAGCGAGAAAGAGGUAGAAUGAGAGAGAGGGAGAAAGAGGGAGAAAGAGAGAGAGGGAGUCAAAGAGGUAGAAGAAGAGAGGGAGAGACAGAGAGAGAGGUAGAAAGAGAGAAAGGGAGUCAAAGAGGUAGAAAGAGAGAGAGGGAGUCAAAGAGGUAGAAAGAGAGAGGGGAGACAGAGAGAGAGGUAGAAAGAGAGAAAGGGAGUCAAAGAGGUAGAAAGAGAGAGAGGGAGUCAAAGAGGUAGAAAGAGAGAGAGGGAGUCAAAGAGGUAGAAAGAGAGAGAGGGAGUCAGAGGUAGAAAGAGAGAGAGGGAGACAGAGAGAGAGGUAGAAAGAGAGAGAGGGAGUCAAAGAGGUAGAAAGAGAGAGAGGGAGUCAGAGGUAGAAAGAGAGAGAGGGAGUCAAAGAGGUAGAAAGAGAGAGGGGAGACAGAGAGAGAGGUAGAAAGAGAGAAAGGGAGUCAAAGAGGUAGAAAGAGAGAGGGGGAGACAGAGAGAGAGGUAGAAAGAGAGAAAAGGAGUCAAAGAGGUAGCAAGAGAGAGGGGGAGACAGAGAGAGAGGUAGAAAGAGAGAAAGGGAGUCAAAGAGGUAGAAAGAGAGAGGGGGAGACAGAGAGAGAGGUAGAAAGAGAGAAAGGGAGUCAAAGAGGUAGAAAGAGAGAGGGGGAGACAGAGAGAGAGGUAGAAAGAGAGAAAGGGAGUCAAAGAGGUAGAAAGAGAGAGGGGGAGACAGAGAGAGAGGUAGAAAGAGAGAGAGGGAGACAGAGAGAGAGGUAGAAAGAGAGAGAGGGAGUCAGAGGUAGAAAGAGAGAGAGGGAGACAGAGAGAGAGGUAGAAAGAGAGAAAGGGAGUCAAAGAGGUAGAAAGAGAGAGAGGGAGUCAAAGAGGUAGAAAGAGAGAGAGGGAGACAGAGAGAGAGGUAGAAAGAGAGAGAGGGAGUCAAAGAGGUAGAAAGAGAGAGGGGGAGACAGAGAGAGAGGUAGAAAUAGAGAAAGGGAGUCAAAGAGGUAGAAAGAGAGAGGGGGAGACAGAGAGAGAGGUAGAAAUAGAGAAAGUGAGUCAAAGAGGUAGAAAGAGAGAGAGGGAGUCAGAGGUAGAAAAAGAGAGAGAGAGAGAGAGAGAGGUAGAAAGAGAGAGAGGGAGUCAGAGGUAGAAAAAGAGAGAGGGAGACAGAGAGAGAGGUAGAAAGAGAGAGAGGGAGUCAAAGAGGUAGAAAGAGAGAGAGGGAGUCAAAGAGGUAGAAAGAGAGAGAGAGGGAGACAGAGAGAGGUAGAAAGAGAGAGAGGGAGUCAGAGGUAGAAAGAGAGAGAGGGAGUCACAGAGGUAGAAAGAGAGAUGGGGAGACAGAGAGAGAGGUAGAAAUAGAGAAAGGGAGUCAAAGAGGUAGAAAGAGAGAGGGGGAGACAGAGAGAGAGGUAGAAAGAGAGAACGGGAGUCAAAGAGGUAGAAAGAGAGAGGGGGAGACAGAGAGAGGGGGAGACAGAGA